Molecule: ribosomal RNA, 540 nt
Filed under: Acarichthys heckelii 'Guyana'
Lineage: Eukaryota; Metazoa; Chordata; Actinopteri; Cichliformes; Cichlidae
Description: partial 16S ribosomal RNA
Rfam family: Bacterial large subunit ribosomal RNA
Source: RNAcentral
AUAAGAGGUCCCGCCUGCCCAGUGACUUUGGGUUCAACGGCCGCGGUAUUUUGACCGUGCAAAGGUAGCGUAAUCACUUGUCCUUUAAAUGAAGACCUGUAUGAAUGGCAUCACGAGGGCUUAACUGUCUCCUUUUUCCUGUCAAUGAAAUUGAUCUCCCCGUGCAGAAGCGGGGAUACGCCCAUAAGACGAGAAGACCCUGUGGAGCUUUAGGCUUCAGAACAGACUAUGUCAAUCAACCUAAAUCAAAUAUUAUAAACCUAUUAACCCCUGUUCUUCUAUGCCUUCGGUUGGGGCGACCGCGGAGUAACAAAAAACCCCCACGUGGAUCGAGAGCACAAUCCUCCCACAACCCAGGGCCACGGCCCUAAGUAACAGAACCUCUGACCAAUUACAAGAUCCGGAAAAACCGAUCAACGAACCAAGUUACCCCAGGGAUAACAGCGCAAUCCCCUUAUAGAGCCCAUAUCGACAAGGGGGUUUACGACCUCGAUGUUGGAUCAGGACAUCCUAUUGGUGCAGCCGCUAUUAAGGGUUCGU